UAAAGAUUAUAUGGGUUACUUACAUCCUCUCCGUUCUUUCCAGGGGGACCAGCAGCGCCACGGGGACCCAUUGGACCCUACAGAAUGAAAGAAACAGGAAAAAAGUCUAAGUUAGGAAAAAAACAUCAGUGUCCAUCUGUUGGAGGAGAGUUUCCAAACCUGUGCCAACUUGUCUCCAAAGGCUCGCGCAUGCGAACGUGAAAGGCCCAGUUGGUCUAAUGCACAUCUAGACUAAGCAAAAAGUUCCUCACCAUUCAAGAAGAAUAUGAAUAAAAACUAUACCUCAGGCGACAGGAAAAUGCCCGACAGGAAAAAAGUCCUGACAGAAUAAUUUCUCUUGCUGCCUCCCUCCACAGCAUCACAAAACCCAUCGCCUCUUCACUUUGCACCCACUAACCUCCAGCAAAGCUUGGAAAGUUGUAAAAAAAAGUUAUACUUACGAUCGUCCUCGCCUUGUCCUCUUGCCAAAAGCACCGUUGCGCUGAGCAACAGCGCCAGCCGAAUAUCCACAAAGCUGAACAUGUCUAAAUAUUAGACAUGUAGACUCUUUGAGGCGAGGGAAGUUCUUUUUUCCUUUAGACUCCAAUCAUACACGGUAGGGUCCGGUCUUCUGUGACUCCAAUCCAGACCCCAGCAGAAACUCCCUACUGCCUAAACCAACUCUAGGUCCUGGCUUUUAUACCCCAAAGUUUCUGGGAGGCGCCGGGAGCAGCAGAUAACUCAAGCAUGUUCAUGUAUAAUAGAAAAAGCGUCCCUCCUUCACCGGACAGGGGGGCUGUCUUCACAACGUUUGCAGAGCUAACUUCUAAAGAAACCUGAUCUCUUAAUAAAAAGGUGAGGGUUUGCACUCAAAACUUCUUUUUGGUGAGGCUAGGUUGUGUGCCAAGGUGACCACCUGUACUGUGGGCAUCACUCCGGACUUUUGUUUCUAUCUUGAAUUCUGCAAAAACCACAACUUUCUUCACAGAGGGACUUGGAGAUGCAAUGCUUUCUGAGUUAAAUUUGUCGUCGCUUCUUUAUUCAUUUGUAUACUGACGGAACAUUUAUGACUUACUGGCGUCAUAAAACGUA
Long non-coding RNA from Danio aesculapii, 1071 nucleotides. RefSeq lists it as uncharacterized. The transcript has 2 exons. The record is from RefSeq and is a predicted model, not a curated record. NCBI's taxonomy places the organism in Eukaryota, Metazoa, Chordata, Actinopteri, Cypriniformes, Danionidae.